UGGGGAAUAUUAGGCAAUGGGGGAAACCCUGACCUAGCAACGCCGCGUGAAGGAUGAAGGCUUUCGGGUUGUAAACUUCUUUUAUCAGGGACGAACACAAUGACGGUACCUGAAGAAUAAGCCACGGCUAACUACGUGCCAGCAGCCGCGGUAAUACGUAGGUGGCGAGCGUUAUCCGGAAUUACUGGGUGUAAAGGGCGCGUAGGCGGGGUCACAAGUCUGACGUGAAAUAUCCGGGCUCAACCCGGGGGCUGCGUUGGAAACUGUGAUUCUUGAGUGAUGGAGAGGCAGGCGGAAUUCCCGGUGUAGCGGUGGAAUGCGUAGAUAUCGGGAGGAACACCAGUGGCGAAGGCGGCCUGCUGGACAUUAACUGACGCUGAGGCGCGAAAGCGUGGGGAGCAAACA
This is a ribosomal RNA of 405 nucleotides. It matches the Rfam family "Bacterial small subunit ribosomal RNA", at positions 355 to 774 of the family's 1533-position model.